UCCCUGGUGGCCCAGUGGCUAAGAUCUGCAUUCCCAAUGCAGGGGAUCUGGGUUCAAUCCCUGGUCAGGGAA
Molecule: transfer RNA, 72 nt
Filed under: Bos taurus (domestic cattle)
Lineage: Eukaryota; Metazoa; Chordata; Mammalia; Artiodactyla; Bovidae
Also listed under: 2 other names
Rfam family: tRNA
About the family: Transfer RNA (tRNA) molecules are approximately 80 nucleotides in length. Their secondary structure includes four short double-helical elements and three loops (D, anti-codon, and T loops). Further hydrogen bonds mediate the characteristic L-shaped molecular structure. tRNAs have two regions of fundamental functional importance: the anti-codon, which is responsible for specific mRNA codon recognition, and the 3' end, to which the tRNAs corresponding amino acid is attached (by aminoacyl-tRNA synthetases). tRNAs cope with the degeneracy of the genetic code in two manners: having more than one tRNA (with a specific anti-codon) for a particular amino acid; and 'wobble' base-pairing, i.e. permitting non-standard base-pairing at the 3rd anti-codon position.
Source: Rfam by way of RNAcentral